UAGCUACAGGCUUAACACAUGCAAGUCGAGGGGCAGCAUGGUCUUAGCUUGCUAAGGCCGAUGGCGACCGGCGCACGGGUGAGUAACACGUAUCCAACCUGCCGUCUACUCUUGGACAGCCUUCUGAAAGGAAGAUUAAUACAAGAUGGCAUCAUGAGUUCACAUGUUCACAUGAUUAAAGGUAUUCCGGUAGACGAUGGGGAUGCGUUCCAUUAGAUAGUAGGCGGGGUAACGGCCCACCUAGUCUUCGAUGGAUAGGGGUUCUGAGAGGAAGGUCCCCCACAUUGGAACUGAGACACGGUCCAAACUCCUACGGGAGGCAGCAGUGAGGAAUAUUGGUCAAUGGGCGCAGGCCUGAACCAGCCAAGUAGCGUGAAGGAUGACUGCCCUAUGGGUUGUAAACUUCUUUUAUAAAGGAAUAAAGUCGGGUAUGUAUACCCGUUUGCAUGUACUUUAUGAAUAAGGAUCGGCUAACUCCGUGCCAGCAGCCGCGGUAAUACGGAGGAUCCGAGCGUUAUCCGGAUUUAUUGGGUUUAAAGGGAGCGUAGAUGGAUGUUUAAGUCAGUUGUGAAAGUUUGCGGCUCAACCGUAAAAUUGCAGUUGAUACUGGAUAUCUUGAGUGCAGUUGAGGCAGGCGGAAUUCGUGGUGUAGCGGUGAAAUGCUUAGAUAUCACGAAGAACUCCGAUUGCGAAGGCAGCCUGCUAAGCUGCAACUGACAUUGAGGCUCGAAAGUGUGGGUAUCAAACAGGAUUAGAUACCCUGGUAGUCCACACGGUAAACGAUGAAUACUCGCUGUUUGCGAUAUACGGCAAGCGGCCAA
Molecule: ribosomal RNA, 821 nt
Filed under: uncultured organism
Description: SSU rRNA
Rfam family: Bacterial small subunit ribosomal RNA
Source: RNAcentral